Molecule: long non-coding RNA, 504 nt
Organism: Parus major (Great Tit)
Lineage: Eukaryota; Metazoa; Chordata; Aves; Passeriformes; Paridae
Exons: 2
Source: RefSeq, a predicted model, not a curated record
CCACAUGCUCCCAGUGUUCCCAGUGUUCCCAGUGUCCUCAUGUUCCCAGGUCUUCCAGUGCUCAGAGUAUAAACUGGGGGAAAGAUUGAGGAAGAGAGGGGUGUCUGGAGUUACGGUGUUUGUCUUCCCAGAUAACUGUAACAUGGCCCUACUCUCCUGGAGCAGCUGAACACCUGCUCGCCCAUGCAAAGUGUUCCGGGGGCCCGACCAGGGCGAGGCGCCUUCACCAUGUUGGGAGGGGUUUGCGAGGGGAGACCUACCUGAGGGAGACUGUCAGCCUUCAUCACCACAACUGCCAGAAGGCAGAAGAAGACCCCUAGCAACAGACGACAUGCGCAGAGUACCAGCCUAAAGACACGUCACCAGACGUAUAAAAGGAGAAGCGGGAGCUGGUUCGCGCGCGGCAGUUGGCGGAGCCCUACGGAACAGAGGCUCCCCCGUCGCCCAGCGCUGUUUUUGCCUAUACCUUGCUUGCUGUAAUUAAUAAAUUUUCAAUUGACCAAA